AACGUAGGACGCGAGCGUUAUCCGGAGUUACUGGGCGUAAAGCGCGGGCAGGCGGUCUGACAAGUCUGAUGUGAAAUCUCCGGGCUUAACCGGGAGAGGCCAUUGGAAACUGACAGGCUGGAGGGCAGUAGAGGUAGGCGGAAUUCCGGGUGGAGUGGUGAAAUGCGUAGAGAUCCGGAGGAACACCAGAGGCGAAGGCGGCCUACUGGGCUGCACCUGACGCUGAGGCGCGAAAGCCAGGGGAGCAAACGGG
RNAcentral lists this ribosomal RNA (253 nucleotides) under uncultured bacterium. Its description in RNAcentral is "partial 16S ribosomal RNA". It matches the Rfam family "Bacterial small subunit ribosomal RNA", at positions 524 to 776 of the family's 1533-position model. The record is from RNAcentral.